CAGUGCCAUAUGGUAUUUACUUUUGGGCAGGGCUUUUUUUCAGCCGGAACUUGCCGGAACUCAGUUCUGGCAGCUCUCAGGUGGGCACCAUUGCCAUUCUGAGAGAAGAAGGGAAGUGUUCAUGAACAAUACUGCAUCCUGGCUUCUCCUAAAAUGAUAUCAGCACAGACCAAACAGAAGCAUUACAUCAUCAGAACGAUCUCUCAUUGGAUGGUCAAUGAUGCAGCAACUUCUGUUCCCUAGCAACUUCCCAGGGUGUUCUAACUCCUUUUGCAGGCAUUGGGACAAGACAAUUUUCAUUGGUAACGCAGCAUCUGAGAAGAGCUGUCUUAAAGCUCCUGUCAUUUUAGCUGUUGAACUUUCAGAGCUAGUUCAUAGCAAGAGUGACAGGACAGGACAAAGGGGAGCAUUCCAAGUGUAACUGAAGCAGACAUUUAAAGGAAAUCUGCAAGCUCCUUC
Podarcis muralis (Common wall lizard) is the source of this 459-nucleotide non-coding RNA. Lineage: Eukaryota; Metazoa; Chordata; Lepidosauria; Squamata; Lacertidae. The record is from RefSeq and is a predicted model, not a curated record.